RNAcentral lists this ribosomal RNA (253 nucleotides) under uncultured Methylococcus sp. RNAcentral describes it as "partial 16S ribosomal RNA". It matches the Rfam family "Bacterial small subunit ribosomal RNA", at positions 524 to 776 of the family's 1533-position model. Lineage: Bacteria; Pseudomonadati; Pseudomonadota; Gammaproteobacteria; Methylococcales; Methylococcaceae. The record is from RNAcentral.
UACAGAGGGUGCGAGCGUUAAUCGGAAUUACUGGGCGUAAAGGGCGCGCAGGCGGUCAUACAAGUGAGAUGUGAAAUCCCUGGGCUUAACCCGGGAACUGCAUUUCAGACUGUAAGGCUGGAGUACUGUAGAGGGUAGUGGAAUUUCCGGUGUAGCGGUGAAAUGCGUAGAGAUCGGAAAGAACACCAGUGGCGAAGGCGGCUACCUGGACAGAUACUGACGCUGAGGCGCGAAAGCGUGGGGAGCAAACAGG